CACGACUCACAGCAUAUUAAAUUGAAGCCCCAGGAGUAAGCUUUCCAGUAAGUUCAAGCUCGUCCUAAUCGGUGGUCGGUACCGAUAGUUAUCGCCAAUCGCACGUCGGUCGAAACUUCUUCCUUCCUUCUAAGAUGUCUGCACCUCCUUCUCCUCCUCCCUUCGAAUUUGGAUCCAGCGAUGAUGGAUCUUCGCUUCGCAUUCCAUCCCCCAUGCCUUCUCCUCCUCCCGUCUCGCAGCCUUCUGUGCCAAGGUAGAUCAGCUAUGUCUAUGUUGUUGAUUGAUACCUGGGUAUUUUCGAACCAGGCAGACCUGAGGCUCACCAAUGGACUGGGGUCCUAACAUGCCCGAUUCUCCGGUUUUUUAGGAAGCCUUGGAUAGGAGUGUUACAACAACCGUAUAUCUUUGCAGAGACUGUGUAC
Molecule: long non-coding RNA, 422 nt
Organism: Eutrema salsugineum
Lineage: Eukaryota; Viridiplantae; Streptophyta; Magnoliopsida; Brassicales; Brassicaceae
Exons: 3
Source: RefSeq, a predicted model, not a curated record